This 657-nucleotide long non-coding RNA is filed under the name Mytilus galloprovincialis (Mediterranean mussel). The record is from RNAcentral. Lineage: Eukaryota; Metazoa; Mollusca; Bivalvia; Mytilida; Mytilidae.
CUUUGAAAUGAAACUUGAUAUUUCAAGCAGUUUUUUAUAAGUCUUCUUUAGUUCAUAGGCUGAUAAGAAAAUGGUUCGAUGGUAGAAUAAGAUAACACAUUCUCGAAACAGCAAGAAUCGAUUUGCUAAUGUUUUUAAGGUAGAAGAAGACAACCAGUUUGAUAAGUGAUUCUAUGAUGGGAAUAACAUUUCUGUUUUUGGCUUGGGAAUUGAGAAUGCUACAUCCUCGUGUAAGCAUGUCCAUCGUAUAUCUAAUUACUUAAAUUUAUUAUAUAUAUUUUUUAAUGACAGAAAAGUUUAAACCGAUCUUUAAGUAAGACCCAUGGUCGAUGUUACUUUCUUUCAUAAAUAUCAUCCCCUGUUUUCCUUAAGAAUGCAUUUAGAUUCACAUUGAACAUUAAUUAUAUGAUGUCAGUACGUUUUGCGGCACAUUCGAAUGCUUAGAAUAUGCAAUAGAAACGUCACGAACAAAUAAAGCUUAACUUCACUGAGUUAUGAUGUAUAUACCUUGCUACUGUAUUGUAUGCCCUUAACUUAUUAUUUUGAUAACAGAUUAUUUAGCGGAUCGGAAACAUGAUGAAAUAAUGUGGCAAUUGAAACUCUAAACAAAAUGGAAACCCAUCAUUUAUUUCCAUAUGAUGCACCGUACCAACAGCU